RNAcentral lists this long non-coding RNA (459 nucleotides) under Androctonus crassicauda. The record is from RNAcentral. Lineage: Eukaryota; Metazoa; Arthropoda; Arachnida; Scorpiones; Buthidae.
GUUUUUUUUUAAUUUUUAUGAGUUUUUAGUGUGUUUGUUUGCAGAUUGAUAAAAUGUAAAGAUGCAUAAAAUAAUGUUAAGUCUGGGUUUCACAGGGAUAAAACCUGACAUCAAUAUGCUGAUAUAAAUGUAUCAGGCAUAAAAUAUCAGGCAUAGUGAUGAUCAAACCAAAAGCAUACAACAUAACAGAAAUAAACAACAUUGUUUAGUUAUUGUCCAAUUACUGUGACAUCAUUUGAAGUUAGCUGAUUCAAUAUGGAUUGUGAAACUCGAGAAUUGUUUUUAUUGAUGGCUUCAUUGAUAAAUUUAUUGAAUGUAAUGGUUUUUUGGAUCAAAAUUCAAAAUGAUGUAGAUUCAAAAGAGAUGUAUGAAUGCAUGACAUAUAUCAUUUCAGAGAGCAACAAAGUUUCAACAACCAGCUCCUACCCUGAUUGCAUGAAUGAUCAGUGUACUUUUAUG